UACGUAUGGUGCAAGCGUUAUCCGGAUUUACUGGGUGUAAAGGGAGCGUAGGCGGCGCGUUAAGUCUGAUGUGAAAACCCGAGGCUCAACCACGGGAGUGCAUUGGAAACUGGCGGGCUGGAGUGCCGGAGAGGUAAGCGGAAUUCCUAGUGUAGCGGUGAAAUGCGUAGAUAUUAGGAGGAACCCCAGUGGCGAAGGCGGCUUACUGGACGGCAACUGACGCUGAGGCUCGAAAGCGUGGGGAGCAAACAGG
This 253-nucleotide ribosomal RNA is filed under the name uncultured bacterium. RNAcentral's name for it is "partial 16S ribosomal RNA". It matches the Rfam family "Bacterial small subunit ribosomal RNA", at positions 524 to 776 of the family's 1533-position model. The record is from RNAcentral.